Molecule: long non-coding RNA, 1932 nt
Organism: Herpailurus yagouaroundi (jaguarundi)
Lineage: Eukaryota; Metazoa; Chordata; Mammalia; Carnivora; Felidae
Exons: 3
Source: RefSeq, a predicted model, not a curated record
UUCUGCACAUCGAAGCUGUUCCUUUGCGCGCCUGAGGGGUACUCCGUGUUUCGGCCAUACCAGCGCCCGCCCAAGCGUCCACCUGCUGAAACAGAUCCAACUUCGCGUCCUCACCGGCGUUUGGUGGCAUCCCUCGUUUUGGCUUCAGCCAUCCUAACAGUGAAGACCAUUCGAGAUGCAGAAGACGUGUUACUCCUCUGCCCACGUGCCCUCCUCUCAGGCCCCCCUGCUUCAGGUAAACAACCUUGGCGUCAGCUGCCUUAGAUUCCUGGGUAUCAUCUUCCUAUACAGAUGAGCAGACAAAGCGGCAAGCGGCCCCACUGUGUGAUGCCCGGCAGUUUAUCCACGUUCCUGAGCUUGGACAGCAUGGUCACCAGCCCCCAGGACGUCCCAGUGGCUCUUUGGCAGUCCCCUCCCAUGAUCAAUGGCAGAAGAGAAAAAUCAGGUGAUAAAAACCACAGUUCCAUCCUGAGCCCUCUCUUCCUUGGCUGCUGUCUCUGGGAUCACUCGCUCUGUGGAAAGCCGGCUACCAUGUUGUGAAGACACGCAGGUCUGACGGGAACCCGUGUGGUAGAGAACCGAGUCCCCGGCCAGCAGACAGCAAGGAACCGAGGCCUGUCAAUGACCAAUGAGUGAGCUUGGAGGGACCUUCCAUUCCUGGUCGAGCUUGACGCGACCGCGCCCCCAUCUGACAGCUUGACCACAACGUCGUGAGAGACCCUGAACCAGAGACAUCCAGCGAAGCCACCGUGGGUACAUGCUUGACCCACACAAGCUGUGAGACAAUAAUUACUGGCUGUUUCGGGUGGCUAAGUGGUGGUAUCGCUUGUUCCACGGCAACAGAUGCUCAAGGUGGGGGUCUACAUCAUUUUCAAUAAUUUGCAAGGGUGCUGGAUAGCACUGUGCACUUGUGUCCUUCAUAUCGUUCGGACAUUUUCCCCACGAUCUAGACCUGAAGAGGACAGGAAUGCAGCACGUCAAGUACACGUACACACAUGUUAAAAACAAACAAACACGUCACACGAUUCGAGAUCUUGGUUCUUGUCAUUGUUCAUGGCAGAAAACCCAAUGUUCAUUUCAUAAUAGAAACUAUAAAUCCCAAUGCAGACCAGGAGGAAUAAACCCAAUGAAUUUUUCAAUGUAGGCAGCGACGUGCAUUAGCGUGCACUGGCUUUCAAGUGAGAUAAUAAGAUGUGCGGCAUUCGAAACAAUAAAGCCACUUAUUAGGUUUUGUAACAAGAAGCAUCGUGGGACUCAAGCAGGGAAGAAAUGCACGGAAUAAAGACGCGGGAUAGGAGGACAAAAUAUUAAUAGCGGUUCUUUAUAAUUUAUGCUUCCCGAUUUUUCACCAACGAACCUUAUAUAUUUGUUUAAUUAUUAUUUUUGUUUGUUUUGAGUGUACUGCAGAUUCACACGCAGCUGGAAGAAAUAAAGCAGAGGCACCUUAAGCCCCAUUCAUCGAGCUCCUGCCAAGGGUACCAUCUUGCAUAAAUAUAGCACAAUGUCACAACCAGGAAGUAGACAUCUAUACAACCUACUGACAGUAUUCAAAUUUGGGUAGUUUUACGUACAUCCGUCUGUGUCUUUGUCUAUUUAGGUCCAUGUAAUUUUUUUCACCCGUGAAAAUGUGUCUAAUCACCACCACAAGCAAGAGUAGCUUCCUCACCACAUCAUGUCCACCUUAAUUCCAGAGCCCAUCCUUCCAAAUGUCCCUGUGCCCCUGCCAGUCCCUAGGUCCUGGCCACCACAAAUCUGUCCUCCUUCCCUAUAAUUUUCUCCCUUCAAGAUUGUUAUAUUAAGGGGUUCAUAUAGGAUGAAAAAUUUGGGGAUCCCGUUUGGGAUUUGGGAUGUGCCAAAUGUAACCACUCCCCCACUGAAGAUAUUUGAGUUGUUUCCAAUUGUUGCCUACUACAAAUAAAACUGCUAUGAGGA